Molecule: unclassified non-coding RNA, 235 nt
Filed under: Hevea brasiliensis (rubber tree)
Lineage: Eukaryota; Viridiplantae; Streptophyta; Magnoliopsida; Malpighiales; Euphorbiaceae
Source: RNAcentral
UUUCUCUGAAAAUUAUGCAGAUUCGCCGUGGUGCUUGGAUGAGCUUGUGAAGAUACUUGAAUGCAAGAAAACAUCAGGACAAUUAGUCCUACCAGUGUUUUACCAUGUAGAUCCAGCCGAUGUUCAAGAGCUGACUGGCAAUUUUGGGGAGUCAUUUGCAAUUGCUAAGAAUGGGGAAGAACUUAAAGGUUGUUUAGACAAGGUGGAAGACUGGCGCCAUGCUUUGAUGGAAAUA